Molecule: ribosomal RNA, 303 nt
Filed under: uncultured bacterium
Lineage: Bacteria
Description: partial 16S ribosomal RNA
Rfam family: Bacterial small subunit ribosomal RNA
Source: RNAcentral
AGCAGUCGCCACGGGAAUACGAAGGGGGCUAGCGUUGUUCGGAAUUACUGGGCGUAAAGCGCACGUAGGCGGAUAUUUAAGUCAGGGGUGAGAUCCCAGAGCUCAACUCUGGAACUGCCUUUGAUACUGGGUAUCUUGAGUAUGGAAGAGGUGAGUGGAAUUCCGAGUGUAGAGGUGAAAUUCGUAGAUAUUCGGAGGGACACCAGUGGCGAAGGCGGCUCACUGGUCCAUUACUGACGCUGAGGUGCGAAAGCGUGGGGAGCAAACAGGAUUAGAUACCCGCGUAGUCCCUGUCUCUUAUAC